Molecule: non-coding RNA, 76 nt
Organism: Xenopus tropicalis (tropical clawed frog)
Lineage: Eukaryota; Metazoa; Chordata; Amphibia; Anura; Pipidae
Source: Rfam
GGCAGGCAGAGUAUGGCACACACGGGCAGCACGCUGCCUGCCCUUUGCUGCCUGUGUGUGCCAUACUCUGCCUGCC